Small nuclear RNA from Cynocephalus volans (Philippine flying lemur), 111 nucleotides. Lineage: Eukaryota; Metazoa; Chordata; Mammalia; Dermoptera; Cynocephalidae. The record is from RefSeq and is a predicted model, not a curated record.
GUGCUCACUUGGGCAGCACAUAUACUAAAACUGGAACAAUGCAGAGAAGAUUGAUUAGCAGGGCCCCUGCGCAAACAGGACAGGCAGAGUCGUGAAGCGCUCCAUACUUUU